Molecule: non-coding RNA, 51 nt
Submitted as: unclassified sequences
Source: Rfam
GCCCUAUUGACAGCUAAAGACUGGCAUCCGAUAGCGAGAAUCGGGGAGGGU